This 340-nucleotide unclassified non-coding RNA is filed under the name Hevea brasiliensis (rubber tree). The record is from RNAcentral. Lineage: Eukaryota; Viridiplantae; Streptophyta; Magnoliopsida; Malpighiales; Euphorbiaceae.
AGGUUGAAGAAAUUAUGUACCAGGUAUGUUUUUUUGAUAAUAUGACAUUAAGUUGUUUGAAGACUUUUGAAACUUGAAAGGGCUAAGCGUCUACCCCUUAAAUCCCCAGUGGGCAGCUAGAUGCCAUGGCCAGAAUGAUCAGUGCUUACUUUCUUCUGAAACUACGUUGGUUGCUGCUGAGAGUGUUGUGCUCUCCUUGUGAAGUUGGCUGUCAUUGUUUAUUGCUUUUUCCAGGAAUGAUCGUCUGCAUUUAGACCCUUAUCUUUGUUUAUGUGAACCCAUUUCUUUUUUUGGCUAUUGUCACCAUCUAGUUGAAUUGGUUAGUUCUAUUGGUUCUAUU